Molecule: long non-coding RNA, 202 nt
Filed under: Ricinus communis (castor bean)
Lineage: Eukaryota; Viridiplantae; Streptophyta; Magnoliopsida; Malpighiales; Euphorbiaceae
Description: long non-coding RNA (RCOM_LNC000398)
Source: RNAcentral
UUGGAUGGAUAGUGUUAAUGUAAUGCUUAUGCACCUCAUUCUUUCUCCUUAUCCGUAGCCAUUCGGAAUCCAUAAUAAAUGUCUUUUUUUUUUUUUUCUUUUUUUGUAACUCAUUAGGGCAGCAGCAGCAGGAGCAAGCUCCUCUGUUGUGACUUGUGAGAAGCAAAGCGAGCACUGGGUUUCCUUGCACAAUAAAAGGCAG